This 291-nucleotide ribosomal RNA is filed under the name uncultured bacterium. RNAcentral's name for it is "partial 16S ribosomal RNA". It matches the Rfam family "Bacterial small subunit ribosomal RNA", at positions 333 to 642 of the family's 1533-position model. The record is from RNAcentral.
ACUUGCCUACGGGGCGCAGCAGUGGGGGAUAUUGCACAAUGGGGGAAACCCUGAUGCAGCGACGCCGCGUGAGUGAAGAAGUAAUUCGUUACGUAAAGCUCUAUCAGCAGGGAAGAAAAUGACGGUACCUGACUAAGAAGCCCCGGCUAACUACGUGCCAGCAGCCGCGGUAAUACGUAGGGGGCAAGCGUUAUCCGGAUUUAUUGGGUUUAAAGGGUGCGUAGGCGGAAUGCCAAGUCAGCAGUAAACUCGCGGGGCUCAACCUCGCUCCGCGGUUGAAACUGGCGUUCU